UUGGAUGCAGUUUUCCUUUGAACUUUUUGCUCGACUGAAACAUCACUGUCUUCUGAUGUCGCGCAUUCUUCUUCUUCCCAUGAAAAAGCAGCGAGACCUUCACCCCAACUCUCCUCGUCAUCAUAAUCUCGUUGGUCUUUCCACAGCUUCAUGGCUGUGGUUAGAGAGGUUUGAGGUUUGGCCUGUUUUUGGAUAUUUGUAUCAUGAGAUUUAU
RNAcentral lists this long non-coding RNA (214 nucleotides) under Nicotiana benthamiana. RNAcentral's name for it is "long non-coding RNA (NBEN_LNC000469)". Lineage: Eukaryota; Viridiplantae; Streptophyta; Magnoliopsida; Solanales; Solanaceae. The record is from RNAcentral.